This 200-nucleotide ribosomal RNA is filed under the name Escherichia coli. RNAcentral describes it as "partial 16S ribosomal RNA". It matches the Rfam family "Bacterial small subunit ribosomal RNA", at positions 1 to 208 of the family's 1533-position model. The record is from RNAcentral. Lineage: Bacteria; Pseudomonadati; Pseudomonadota; Gammaproteobacteria; Enterobacterales; Enterobacteriaceae. RNAcentral also lists the same sequence under 1 other name.
AAAUUGAAGAGUUUGAUCAUGGCUCAGAUUGAACGCUGGCGGCAGGCCUAACACAUGCAAGUCGAACGGUAACAGGAAGAAGCUUGCUUCUUUGCUGACGAGUGGCGGACGGGUGAGUAAUGUCUGGGAAACUGCCUGAUGGAGGGGGAUAACUACUGGAAACGGUAGCUAAUACCGCAUAACGUCGCAAGACCAAAGAG